This 465-nucleotide ribosomal RNA is filed under the name uncultured bacterium. RNAcentral's name for it is "partial 16S ribosomal RNA". It matches the Rfam family "Bacterial small subunit ribosomal RNA", at positions 28 to 507 of the family's 1533-position model. The record is from RNAcentral.
GACGAACGCUGGUGGCGUGCUUAACACAUGCAAGUCGAACGGAAAGGCCCCUUUGGGGGUGCUCGAGUGGCGAACGGGUGAGUAACACGUGAGUAACCUGCCCUUGACUUCGGGAUAACUUCAGGAAACUGGGGCUAAUACCGGAUAGGAAUCCUUGCUGCAUGGUGGGGGUUGGAAAGCUUCGGCGGUUUUGGAUGGACUCGCGGCUUAUCAGCUUGUUGGUGGGGUAGUGGCUUACCAAGGCUUUGACGGGUAGCCGGCCUGAGAGGGCGACCGGCCACAUUGGGACUGAGAUACGGCCCAGACUCCUAAGGGAGGCAGCAGUGGGGAAUAUUGCACAAUGGGCGGAAGCCUGAUGCAGCAACGCCGCGUGCGGGAUGACGGCCUUCGGGUUGUAAACCGCUUUCAGCAGGGGCGAAGCUUGUGGUGACGGUACCUGCAGAAGAAGCACCGGCUAACUACGUG